Molecule: non-coding RNA, 222 nt
Organism: Vicia faba (fava bean)
Lineage: Eukaryota; Viridiplantae; Streptophyta; Magnoliopsida; Fabales; Fabaceae
Source: the annotation of a GenBank genome assembly
AUGGCUUCUAAGUUUUUUAUUGAGCCACCCUCUAUAAACUAUAAUGUCCACUAUAUUAUUCACAAUUCUAUCUCUAUUAACAACAUUUCUAAAGACUAUAUCAUUUCUAUAUUUCUAUAUGUGGUAAAUUGUCUCUGCAGCUAUUUUCAUGAGAUCUACUUUCCAACCUUUUUCUUUCACCUUUCCACAAAUCCAUUGCAAUUCUUCAUUUCAUUAUUUUGA